This 109-nucleotide ribosomal RNA is filed under the name Pteropus alecto (black flying fox). The record is from RNAcentral. Lineage: Eukaryota; Metazoa; Chordata; Mammalia; Chiroptera; Pteropodidae.
GUCUAUAGCCAUGCCACCCUGAACGAGCCUGAUUUUGGAAGCUAAGCAGGGUCGGGCUUGGUUAGUACUUGGAUGGGAGACCACCUAGGAAGACCAUGUGCUAGAGGCA